AAUUUCAUCAGGUAAACUCUUCGUCUGUCUCUGUCCUUCUAUCAUAGGUAUUUAGUUACGGGUUGUGUAAGGGAAAUUGGUUGGAAGAGCAAAAUGGAUACUGAAAGAGUAUCAUUUCCCUGUUGAGUACUCCAAAGUUCGAUGAAUUUGUAAUUAAAUCUCAAAUGAGUCUUCAAGUUUAUUUUUUUUUUAAAAAGGGAACAGAUAAUGUUGCCGUAAAGUAUUUGGGUCUCUAUUUGAAGCAAUAUAAUACGAAUUUUGAUGCUGAAAGACUUGGAAACCAUGCUGUCGACCAUGUCGAGAAGCUGAGUAACAUUCUGCUUUUACAAUGGCACCUCUUAAUAAAAGGAACUUAAGCCAUCCAAUCUAGGGCUUCCAUCAAAUCGUGCAGGCUGCUCGGAAGUUGCAUUUACUUUUGUUGUGAACAUCAUGAACACAUACAUUAUUUGAAGGUUCAUGUUUACGUAGCAGUGGUGUUGCUGUCCAAUGUGGCGUGUUGUUGCAGCCUAUGGUGGUGAAAGAUAUCUGCAUCAAGUUGCUGUUCCUUGUGCAUCCAAGGUGCUGCUUUUGUGCUACAGAAGUGACAUCCAAUAUUGUGUUUAAUUGCUAUUUGUGUCUCCACAGUUUACUUUUAUAUAUUGAGAAGGAACAAAAAAAAUAGUAAUACGGGGAGCUUAAUGUCAAACAAAUAAUAAACAUGUCCAGGAUGGGGAAAUGAGGAGGAAGUUGGGGUGGGGUAUUUGGUUAUGAUUUACUAAAAGAAGUGAGGUAUAUUUUAAAUGAAUAUGCUGUACUUGAUGAUAAUAUCUGUUGUUAACCUAUACCUUCCUGUCAACCUAUACUUUCCACUUUCACAUCCACUCCUCAAACCCCCACCAACAUCAAAUCCCACAUCCACUCACAUCCAUUCCUAAAACCCCACAAUCUCCAACAUCAAAUUUACACACUUGUUGUAUAUCUAUAAUCAUAUUUA
Long non-coding RNA from Daphnia pulicaria, 973 nucleotides. RefSeq lists it as uncharacterized. NCBI's taxonomy places the organism in Eukaryota, Metazoa, Arthropoda, Branchiopoda, Diplostraca, Daphniidae. The record is from RefSeq and is a predicted model, not a curated record. The transcript is spliced from 4 exons.